UACGUAGGUGGCAAGCGUUGUCCGGAAUUAUUGGGCGUAAAGCGCGCGCAGGCGGUUUCUUAAGUCUGAUGUGAAAUCUUGCGGCUCAACCGCAAGCGGUCAUUGGAAACUGGGGAACUUGAGGACAGAAGAGGAGAGUGGAAUUCCACGUGUAGCGGUGAAAUGCGUAGAUAUGUGGAGGAACACCAGUGGCGAAGGCGACUCUCUGGUCUGUUACUGACGCUGAGGCGCGAAAGCGUGGGGAGCAAACAGG
RNAcentral lists this ribosomal RNA (253 nucleotides) under uncultured bacterium. Its description in RNAcentral is "partial 16S ribosomal RNA". It matches the Rfam family "Bacterial small subunit ribosomal RNA", at positions 524 to 776 of the family's 1533-position model. The record is from RNAcentral.